UACGGGGGGGGCAAGCGUUGUUCGGAAUUACUGGGCGUAAAGGGCUCGUAGGCGGCCAACUAAGUCAGACGUGAAAUCCCCAGGCUCAACCUGGGAACUGCGUCUGAUACUGGAUGGCUUGAAUCCGGGAGAGGGAUGCAGGAUUCCAGGUGUAGCGGUGAAAUGCGUAGAUAUCUGGAGGAAUACCGGUGGCGAAGGCGGCAUCCUGGACCGGCAUUGACGCUGAGGAGCGAAAGCCAGGGGAGCAAACGGG
This 253-nucleotide ribosomal RNA is filed under the name uncultured bacterium. RNAcentral's name for it is "partial 16S ribosomal RNA". It matches the Rfam family "Bacterial small subunit ribosomal RNA", at positions 524 to 776 of the family's 1533-position model. The record is from RNAcentral.